This 303-nucleotide ribosomal RNA is filed under the name uncultured bacterium. RNAcentral's name for it is "partial 16S ribosomal RNA". It matches the Rfam family "Bacterial small subunit ribosomal RNA", at positions 507 to 808 of the family's 1533-position model. The record is from RNAcentral.
AGCAGCAGCCGCGGUAAUACGUAUGUCACGAGCGUUAUCCGGAUUUAUUGGGCGUAAAGCGCGUCUAGGUGGUUAUAUAAGUCUGAUGUGAAAAUGCAGGGCUCAACUCUGUAUUGCGUUGGAAACUGUAUAACUAGAGUACUGGAGAGGUAAGCGGAACUACAAGUGUAGAGGUGAAAUUCGUAGAUAUUUGUAGGAAUGCCGAUGGGGAAGCCAGCUUACUGGACAGAUACUGACGCUAAAGCGCGAAAGCGUGGGUAGCAAACAGGAUUAGAUACCCGCGUAGUCCCUGUCUCUUAUACA